This 425-nucleotide ribosomal RNA is filed under the name uncultured bacterium. RNAcentral's name for it is "partial 16S ribosomal RNA". It matches the Rfam family "Bacterial small subunit ribosomal RNA", at positions 354 to 796 of the family's 1533-position model. The record is from RNAcentral.
GUGGGGAAUCUUAGACAAUGGGGGCAACCCUGAUCUAGCCAUGCCGCGUGAGUGAUGAAGGCCUUAGGGUUGUAAAGCUCUUUCAGUGGGGAAGAUAAUGACGGUACCCACAGAAGAAGCCCCGGCUAACUCCGUGCCAGCAGCCGCGGUAAUACGGAGGGGGCUAGCGUUGUUCGGAAUUACUGGGCGUAAAGCGCACGUAGGCGGAUCGGAAAGUUGGGGGUGAAAUCCCAGGGCUCAACCCUGGAACUGCCUUCAAAACUAUCGGUCUGGAGUCCGAGAGAGGUGAGUGGAAUUCCGAGUGUAGAGGUGAAAUUCGUAGAUAUUCGGAGGAACACCAGUGGCGAAGGCGGCUCACUGGCUCGGUACUGACGCUGAGGUGCGAAAGCGUGGGGAGCAAACGGGAUUAGAAACCCCGGUAGUCC